RNAcentral lists this ribosomal RNA (496 nucleotides) under uncultured bacterium. RNAcentral's name for it is "partial 16S ribosomal RNA". It matches the Rfam family "Bacterial small subunit ribosomal RNA", at positions 29 to 507 of the family's 1533-position model. The record is from RNAcentral.
AUGAACGCUGGCGGCGUGCCUCAUACAUGCAAGUCGAGCGAACAGACGAGGAGCUUGCUCCUCUGACGUUAGCGGCGGACGGGUGAGUAACACGUGGAUAACCUACCUAUAAGACUGGGAUAACUUCGGGAAACCGGAGCUAAUACCGGAUAACAUGUUGAACCGCAUGGUUCAACAGUGAAAGACGGUUUUGCUGUCACUUAUAGAUGGAUCCGCGUCGCAUUAGCUAGUUGGUAAGGUAACGGCUUACCAAGGCAACGAUGCGUAGCCGACCUGAGAGGGUGAUCGGCCACACUGGAACUGAGACACGGUCCAGACUCCUACGGGAGGCAGCAGUAGGGAAUCUUCCGCAAUGGGCGAAAGCCUGACGGAGCAACGCCGCGUGAGUGAAGAAGGUCUUCGGAUCGUAAAACUCUGUUAUUAGGGAAGAACAAAUGUGUAAGUAACUAUGCACGUCUUGACGGUACCUAACCAGAAAGCCACGGCUAACUACGUG